CCGCACCAUUCAGAACACCACACGCAAGAGAGAAAUUCAGAGAGGAAAAUAAAAAGAGUGCCGCAGGUUUCUGAGAGUUUUUAGAGACUUGUGUCGUGCUUGCAAGGAUUUUUUAGAGACUUGUGUCGUGACCCUGCAGCUAAGGAUUGUGCCAAAUCUGCCAUUGGAGUGCUAGAGCGUUUCUGGGUUCUUUCUAUCCUUAGUUUUAGUCCAAUGUUUAUUUUAAUUUGGUCUUCAAUUAUGAUGAACAUGUGGAACUAAUUUCGUUUUAGCUAGAGGAGAAUCAAAGCCAUGAACAUAUAUGUGAUAUGAAUUGAUUACAUCCAGUUAUGAUUUCAUAAAUCAUGAAUGCAAUUUACUUAUCUGUUUGAUUGAUAACUUAUUCUUGUGUGUUGAUUGAGGAUGCAUACUUAGUUUACAUGCAGGGAUUUGAUGCUAGAAUAUGAGGGAAUUUCACCUAAUCGUUAUGAACUUAUAUUCACAAGUAGUAAAAGUCACUAGUUAUGAUUGUGUUAAGUAAAUUCUUGGCAGGAGUAUCAUGCAGUUCAUAGUUACGAAUGUCUUGUCAAUGCUUAUGAUUUUUAUAGAACUUAAUGAUCUUUGAUAUGUAUCUCUAUCAUGUUGUUCAUAUAGGGAACUUGAUAAGAAUAAUUUGGUUGCGUCGCUGAGUCCAAUUCAAUGAAUUUAGGAAAAUCUGAAAGUUAAUUUGUGCUUCUCACGAUUAAUUUGGGGCAUUGUCAUUCAUGGUCGAUAGGAAUAAUAACUGGAAAUCGAUUUGUAUGAUUAUGUGUCAUGUGUGGAGAAUGACCCUCUAGCUAGCCUUACACCCCUAAAAACAUCCAAUUUCGUAUUACCUUUAGUUUGUUUCUGCAAGUACUUAGGUUUACUUUAAAUUCGUCAAAACAACCCCCAUUUAGUAUUCUGAGUCUUUUUAGUUUAAUUUUCGUCCAAAUCACCCUCUAGUUCUUGUUUUGAGUCAAUUUAACUUAGUUUUGUGUUAUUUGAAUCAGUUUAGUUUGUUUUGAGUUGUUUGAGUCUAGCUUUCAGUUUUUAAGUUUAAUUUGUGUUGAUAAGUAUCCCUAACUAAUCUCCGGCCUAGAAUGAUCCCUACUUACGCGUACUACAACUAUCUUAAUAGGGUUUAAUUUGCGUGUUAGUUUUUACCACAUCAAAUUUUGGCACCGUUGCCGGGGAUCUCUUUGUUUCUGUUUUUGGUUUUCUUGUGUUUCUGAUUUUGUUUUGUUUUGUUUUCUUUGUUUUAGGUACUAGUU
RNAcentral lists this long non-coding RNA (1271 nucleotides) under Malus domestica (apple). RNAcentral describes it as "long non-coding RNA (MDOM_LNC010411)". Lineage: Eukaryota; Viridiplantae; Streptophyta; Magnoliopsida; Rosales; Rosaceae. The record is from RNAcentral.